AGAGUUUGAUCAUGGCUCAGGAUGAACGCUAGCGGUGCGCCUAACACAUGCAAGUCGAACGGAGACGGAAGUGACACAGAGUGAUGAAAAACUACCAAUAAGAAUAAUUCAAACAAGAAACACUCUCACGCCUAACUGUGAAAGAAACCUUCAAGAAAACACUUCUCUCAAGUAGCUCUCUUCUCCCUUCUGUGUCACUUUCAAAUCAGUGGCAAACGGGUGAGUAACGAGUUUGUACCUACCCCAAAGUGAGGGAUACCUCCAUGAAAGUGGAGUUAAUACCGCAUAGUCUCGCAAGAGUAAAGCCGCAAGGCGCUUUGGGAGGGGCAUGCUUUCUAUCAGCUAGUUGGUGAGGUAAUAGCUCACCAAGGCAAUGACGGAUAGCUGGAUUGAGAGAUCGGCCAGCCACAAUGGAACUGAGACACGGUCCAUACUCCUACGGGAGGCAGCAGUGAGGAAUCUUCCACAAUGGGCGAAAGCCUGAUGGAGCGACACCGCGUGAAGGAUGAAGCGUUUACUCGUGUAAACUUCUUUUCUGUGGGAAGAUAAUGACG
RNAcentral lists this ribosomal RNA (554 nucleotides) under uncultured Proteiniphilum sp. Its description in RNAcentral is "bacterial SSU rRNA". It matches the Rfam family "Bacterial small subunit ribosomal RNA", at positions 8 to 456 of the family's 1533-position model. The record is from RNAcentral. Lineage: Bacteria; Pseudomonadati; Bacteroidota; Bacteroidia; Bacteroidales; Dysgonomonadaceae.